Molecule: ribosomal RNA, 403 nt
Filed under: uncultured bacterium
Lineage: Bacteria
Description: partial 16S ribosomal RNA
Rfam family: Bacterial small subunit ribosomal RNA
Source: RNAcentral
AUUGAACGCUGGCGGCAGGCCUAACACAUGCAAGUCGAGCGAGCGGCGGACGGGUGUGUAAUGUAUGGGGACUGCCCGAUAGAGGGGGAUAACUACUGUAAACGGUAGCUAAUACCCCACACUAUCGGAUAACCCAUAUGGGAGUAGCUAGUAGGUGAGGUAAUGGCUCACCUAGGCGACGAUCCCUAGCUGGGCUGAGAGGAUGAGCAGCCACACUGGAACUGAGACACGGCCCAGACUCCUACGGAGGCAGCAGUGGGGAAUAUUGCACAAUGGGCGCAAGCCUGAUGCAGCCAUGCCGCGUGUAUGAAGAAGGCCCUCGGGUUGUAAAGUACUUUCAGCGGGGAGGCGUUACCCGCAGAAGAAGCACCGGCUAACUACGUGCCAGCAGCCGCGGUAAUUC